UGUCUAGUCGUCCAUAGGAGUCGAUCUCUCCCUAGAGCCCUCAGUUGUUACAUAAUCGAACUUUGGAGUCCCUUCAGUGGCGUUAUCCUUGAUAUAGUCAUAAUUUCAUUCAUUGUGGCUUAGUUUCUUACAAAGCCAAACACAGAAAGAAGACUACGAGUUGUGGUUACGUUGAGAACCCACAUAGUUACUUUGGCCCCACAGUGGGCAUCAAAUUAUUUACCAUUUUUUCGCUAUAGUUGAAUUUAUUCGUGAGUUAAAAACAUGGGUUAUGGUCUUAGCUUAAGAUUAGUGGUAAACUUUUGCAGAGAAAUAAAUUAUGUAAACAAAAGUUUAAAUAAAUCAAACUAGUAGAGAUUUGAAACAAAUCUUAGCAUAGAGAAGCGUUUGUUCUUAUUAAUCGAGGGUCGAAAGUGAUCAAACUUACGGAAUUACAAUCAAAAAUAAUGAAGAACAUAUAGGGAACAAGGUAAUGCUUAAGGACUACUAAGAUAUUUUAUUGCUUAAGGGAUAAAGAUGAGAAAAAAUCAGAUCCUUCACAAUGAAGAAGGAUCUAUUUAUAGGAUAUAAAGGCUGCCUCUUGGCGAAUGGGAGGGUGUUAUUCCUUGGGAGCAUAUACUGUGUCCAAUGACCCUUCGCCACUUGUAUUUGAACUGUUGGGCGAUUUCAACCCAGUAUUACGUAUCUGACGCGGUGCAAUCGAGAGCCGCCUGUGCACCUGUAUGGCCUAACGUGUUGGUAAAAAUCUCAAUAAAUUGCAGUGAUAUUAUAAUUGAUUAACAACUGAAAAUUACAAAUGAAUAAAGAAAAGUAUUAUUUCUUCGCGGAUAUCCUGCUCUCUUUAAGGAGAUUCAAGCCCACUGCGGUAAUUGUUUCUCUGGUCCAGUAGUAAUUCUCUCUAACUUGUCCCCUCCAGAAUACAACAGCCUACACAAUAUAACUCAAUACUCUGCACUAGAAUUGAGUUCAAAGCUCCAAACAAUUAACACCUCCCUUCAACUAAUAAACUCUCUUAAUAUAUAACGUUAACUCUCAGUAUUUUCUUCUACUUCUCUAUUUCUGCUUCCCUAUUUCUUACCCAGAAUGCCGUGCCAAAGUUCCAAUUUAUAGAAGAGAAAGGAAGGCAUGCAUACACUAAAAUAAUGUACCAAUCAUUGAAUCAUUGCUUAGACAAAACAUUUGCGAAGAAUAAAAGUGUUGUGCUUUUGAAAGCAUUAGCUUUGUCUUCAUACUUUAAUAAUUAAAGUAGAAAAGAGAUAGAAUAUUAAAAAGUGUUCCAUCAGAAAGCAUCAACUUUUUCUCUAUACUUUAAUAAUUAAAUAGAAACGAGAUAGGAUGUUAAAAAAUGUUCCAUCAAUCCCCCACUCAUUUUUUAAUAUUAUCAAGAGAGUCUACUAGUUGACGGAAGAUUAUUAUACAUAAUGGAGGUGUGCUCUGCAUUGAACCUCCACUUAGUAAAACAGUAAUUUUUACUCCAGAGUCGUAGUGGUCUCAGACUUGAACUAUGACUGCUUUGGGGAAAUAAAAAGUUACUGCUUAUACAUAAUAGUCAAGGUAUUGAAAUGAGCUUUUUAAGCCAGCAUGCUACGGCCUUGUGCUAUCCCGAUUUUAAUGAGUGUCUUUAGAGAAUGAGCCUAAUUCUCAAUAGGAAGCGACCUACCUUCACACUCACAUAGGUGAAAUAUGUCUAGAGUGCUCCUGUAAUUUAGCACCUCACUCAUAAGAGCUAUAGAUAUUCAUUAAGAGUUUAAUAAACUCAACCUCACAAACAUUACAGGAAAAUGCACUCAUAUCAUAGGGAGGGAUAAAUAAAUAGUGCAUUUUUCACACCAAUUCAUCAGGUGAUUCGUUUUUCCCAUUGAACCUGCUUAUAGGAUCUCUAGUCCCCAGGUUGGGUUUCCUCACAUAUGACUUGAGAUUUAAUAGGCUUCAAUCCCAUCCCCCUCGAUGUACUCCAGACCUUUUCUCUUGCUAAGUCCUUAGUCAACGGAUCUGCAAGAUUAUCACAAGAUUUUACAUAAUCAACAUUAAUGAUACCAUUUAUCAAAUAUAAUCUCACAUUACUGUGUUUUCUCCGUAUAGGUUUGGAUUUACCAUUGUAAUAACGGUUUUGAGCUCUACCAAUUGCAGCGGUACUAUCACAAUAAAUUAAUAUAGGAGGAAUUGAUUUUUCAAAUAAGGUAUUUGAAAUAACAAAUCUCUCAACCAAUUCGCUUCCUCACUAGCUGAAGCUAAAGAAACUAGUUCAACCUCCAUGCUAGAGUUAGCAAUAAUUGUUUACUUUUUAGACUUCCAACAAAUACCACCACCACCCAAAGUAAAUACAUAGCCAAUAGUGGUCAAGGAAUCACCUGAUAAAGUAUUUCAAUCCGCAUCACAAUAGCCUUCAAGUACAGCAGGAUAUUUUGUAUAGAACAAACCACAAUUUUUUAUUCCAAUUAAAUAUCUCAUUACUCUAUUUAUAGCAUGCCAAUGUUUAUUACCUGGCUUGCUAGUAAAUCUGCUAAGUACUCCUACUGCAUAUGUAAUAUCAGGCCUAGUGCAAUCAGUCACAUAUCUAGACUUCCAAUUAUGCUCGCAUAUUUUUUUUGAUUUAUUACUUCUGUUUCACUCUCAACAGGAAACAGGUGAACACUAGAAUCAAAUGGAGUUACAACAUGCUUGCAAUCAAAGAAAUUAUAUUUUUUCAAUAUUUUCUCAACAUACUGUGACAGAAAAAUUCCAUCACAUGUUCUAGCAAUUUUUAUUCCUAAAAUAAAAUUUGUCUCACCAAGAUCUUUCAUUUCAAAAUGGCCUCUAAGAAUAUUUUUAGUCUCAUAAAUAAUAUUCAUGUUAGAGCCAAAGAUCAAUAAAUCAUCAACAUAUAGGCAAAUAAUAACAUGUGAAAUAUUCCAAGACUUAUGAUAUAUGCACUUAUCACACUCAUUUGUUUUAAACUCAUUUUCAAUCAUGCAGGAAUCAAACUUUUCAUGCCAUUGUUUCGGUGCCUGUUUUAAGCCAUAUAGGAAUUUAUUAAGUUUACAUACUUUGCUUUCUUGACCAGCCUCAACAAAACCUUUGGGUUGUUCCAUGUAAAUCUCUUCAUUUAGGUCUCCGUUUAAAAAAGUAGUUUUUACAUCCAUUUGAUGAAUUUGUAAAUCAAAAAUUGCCGUAAUAGCAAUUAAAAGUCUAAUGGAUGUAAUUCUCGUUACCGGUGAAAAAGUAUCAAAAAAUUCUAGACCUUCUAGUUGUUUAAAACCUUUUGCCUCAAGCCUAGCUUUAUAUUUUUCAACAGAUCCAUCCGAUUUUAAUUUUUCACGUAAGACCCAUUUACAUCCAAUUGUUUUACAACCCAGUGGUAAAUCAACUAACUUCCAAGUUUUAUUAGAAAUUAGCGAUUUUAUUUCAUCAUUUACAACCUCUUUCCAGAAAAUAGCAUCAUGUGUAGAUAAAACUUCUUUUAAAGUGAUUGGGUCUUCUCCAACGUUAAAAACGUAAUAAUUAGGACCAAAGCCUUUUUCUACUCUAGCUCUUUUACUUUUUCUUAACUCAAAAUCAUCAUUUUCAUUAUUAUUUAAAGUAGAAGUAGAAGAACUAGGUAGAAUCAAAAUAUUUUCUUCAGUCCCAUGGCCCCCACUAUUUUUAGAAUCAAAAGGAAAUUUAUUUUCAUGAAAAAUAUCAUCACCUGAUUCUAUUAUCACACUAUCUUCAAGAUUAAAAAAUCUGUAGGUUGUACUAUUUGAAGCAUAACUAAGAAAAGUACAAGUAGUAACUUUUUUACUCAACUUAGAGAUUUUAGGAUCCAUUAACCUCACAUAGGCUCGACAACCCCAAACUCUUAGAUAUCCCAAAUUUGGCUUAUGACCUUUCCACAAUUCAAGAGGUGUUAAUUUCUUCUUUUUAUGAGGCACACGAUUUAACACAUAACAAGCAGUUAAAAGAGUUUCACCCCAAAAACUUAAAGGUGCAAAUGACUCAAUUAACAUGGCAUUAGUCAACUCAGUUAAAGUUCUAUUCUUGCUUUUCACUACACCGUUAUAUGCAGGAGAAUAAGGAGGAGGAGUUUCAUGAAUUAUACCCAAUGAUCUUACAAAGAAUUAAACUCAAGUGACUCAUAUUCACGGCCUCUAUCACUUCUUAUUCUUUUUAUUUUUCUAUUAAACUGAUUUUCAACUUCAUGGAGAAAAUUUUUAAAAAUUCUCAAAUGCAUCACUUUUAUUUUUCAUUAAGUAAACAUAUGUAAACUUAGAAAAAUCAUCAAUGAAAGUGAUGAAAUAUCUAUUUUUUUCACGAGUUAAAAUUUCACCAAGCUCACAAAUAUCACUAUGAACUAAUUCUAAUAAAUCAGUUUUUCUUUCAACAUGGAAGUGAGGCCUUUUUGUGAUUUUAGCUUUACUACAAGCUUCACAUUUUUCAAAAUUCUUUUUGAUCAUUAGAAUUAAUCCUAAACUACUCAUCAUUCCUACAUAACAUUCAUUUAUAUGACACAAACGAGCAUGCCAAAAAUUAGUAGAAGAAAGCAUGUAAACAGAAAUGGAUGCUUUAUUUAUUUCAACAUUUAAUUUGAACAUACCAUCACAUGUAUACCCUUUCCCUAGAAAAAUAUUAUUCUUCGAAAUUCAAUAUUGAUCAGAUUCAAUAAUUUGUCUGAAGCCUGCUUUAUUAAGAAGAAAACUCUAAAUUAAAUUUUUUCUCAUGAAAGGAGUAUAAAGUACAUCUUUUAAGAUUAAUACCCUUCCAGAAGUAAAUCUCAAUUCGACAUCCCCUGUUCCAAGUACUUGACUUGUGUGUGAAUUUUCAAGCAUGACGGUUUUGGGCUCCUCAAAAUUUUUAUAAUUUUUAAACUAGUCUUUGUCAUAACAAACAUGACAGCUUGCACCAGAGUCAGCCCGUCAUCUAUCAACAUUCUCCACCAUAAAUAUGUCUGUAAUCAUCACAACAAAUGGUUCUUCGAUAACAUUUGCUUGAGGUGUAGGCCCAUAUUUUCGAUAUUUGCAAAAUCGAGCAAUAUGCCCACUUUUGCCACAAACAAAGCAUGGUCCUUUUUGUUGUUCAUGUUGAUUUUUUGCUUGAUUAUUUCUACCAUUAUUAUAUUGGGGAUGUCUACCAUUAUUAUUUUUAAAAUUUUUCUUCUUAGGCUUCAAAACAUUAUUUUUGUUAGGUUCAGGGGUAGCAUUACUUGAAGUUAAAUUUACCUUUGGUGUGAUGUUGUUCACUUCUGUUUGCAUUAGUGCAUCUUGGCCCGUUGCUUCUUCUUACAUGCGGAUUCUCAUUAUUAAAGUUUCAAGAGAUGUUUCCUUUUGCUUGUGGCGCACCGUUUUUUGAAAUUCUUUUCACGAAAGUGGAAAUUUAUCAAUUAUGCCACAAACAAUAAGGUUAUCUCCAAUUUUUAUUUCCUCAGACUUGAGCUCGCCAACAAUCAUUAUAGAAUCUUGUGCUUGGUCUGCCACUGAUUUAUUGUCCACCAUUUGGAAACGAAAAAAUCUGCUGGCUGUAUAUUUUUUCGCUCCCGCCUCCUCAGUGUCAUACUUACUCUGUAAGGCUUUUCAAAUUUUCUUUGCACUAGAGUAAGUUCUAUCAUAAUAAUCAUAAAAAUUAUCUAAUAGACAAUUAAGUAAAAAGUAACGACACUUAUAAGAGUCAUUAUUAUAUCUUUCUACUUUCUCUUGAUGAGAAAGAUAUUCUUCAUAAGUCAUGGUAGAGUCAUCUACUUUAUUAGGGUUCUUCUCCAUUAACACGUAAGAGACAUGGAGAAGACUUAAGUAGAAAAGAACUUUACCCUUCCAUCUUUUAAAGUGGGUACCGUUGAACCGAAAUGGCUUGUUCAAAUCUCCCAGCUUGAUAUCCGCGGAAUUUUCAGUUGUUGCCAUCCUUUGAAUCUCCUUAAAAUUGUUUGUGAAAAUCUCAAUAAAUUGCAGUGAUAUUAAAAUUGAUUUACAACUAAAAAUUACAAAUGAAUAAAGAAAAAUAUUAUUUCUUCUUAUACGGCUGAGGUGCGGAUAUUCCGCUCUCUUUAAGGAGAUUCAAGUCCACUGCGGUAAUUGUUUCUCCGAUCCAGCAGUAAUACUCUCUAACUUGUCCCCUCUAGGAUACAACAGCCUACACAAUAUAACUCAGUACUCUGCACUAAAAUUGAGUUCAAAGCUCCAUACAAUUAACAACUCCCUUUAACUAAUAAACUCUCUUAAUAUAUAAUGUUAACUCUCAGUAUUUUCUUCUACUUCUCUAUUUCUGCUUCCCUAUUUCUUACCCAGAAUGCCGUGCCAAAGUUCCAAUUUAUAGAAGCGAAAGGAAGGCAUGCAUACAUUAAAAUAAUGUACCUACCAUUGAAUCAUUGCUUAGACAAAUCAUUUGCGAAGAAUAAAAGUGUUAUGCUUUUAAAAACAUUAACUUUGUCUUCAUACUUUAAUAGUU
RNAcentral lists this long non-coding RNA (6393 nucleotides) under Capsicum annuum. Its description in RNAcentral is "long non-coding RNA (CANN_LNC002506)". Lineage: Eukaryota; Viridiplantae; Streptophyta; Magnoliopsida; Solanales; Solanaceae. The record is from RNAcentral.